This 281-nucleotide ribosomal RNA is filed under the name uncultured Faecalibacterium sp. RNAcentral describes it as "partial 16S ribosomal RNA". It matches the Rfam family "Bacterial small subunit ribosomal RNA", at positions 66 to 339 of the family's 1533-position model. The record is from RNAcentral. Lineage: Bacteria; Bacillati; Bacillota; Clostridia; Eubacteriales; Oscillospiraceae.
UCUUUGAUUCUUCGGAUGAAGAGGUUUGUGACUGAGUGGCGGACGGGUGAGUAACGCGUGGGUAACCUGCCUCAAAGAGGGGGACAACAGUUGGAAACGACUGCUAAUACCGCAUAAGCCCACGGGUCGGCAUCGACCAGAGGGAAAAGGAGUGAUCCGCUUUGAGAUGGCCUCGCGUCCGAUUAGCUAGUUGGUGAGGUAACGGCCCACCAAGGCGACGAUCAGUAGCCGGACUGAGAGGUUGAACGGCCACAUUGGGACUGAGAUACGGCCCAGACUCC